GGUGCACUUUUGUAGUAUAAUGAACAUUUUCUUUUUGGCAGGUUGUACAUCUACCCUACUGGUUUGAAUUCUGAGAAUAGAAAUUUGCCAAUCUUGAUGCAAGUAGUGACUACUCAGGCCUUGCAACUUCGUAAGAUUUUUCAAGGAACACACUUUUGUUGACUGGUCUGUGCAGUGACUACUCAGGCCUUGACUACUCAGGCCUUGCAACUUCGUAAGAUUUUUCAAGGAACACACUUUUGUUGACUGGUCUGUGCAGUGACUACUCAGGACUUGCAACUUCUUAAGAUUUUCCAAGGAACACAUGUACUAACUUCUCAGCAUUUGCAAGGCAUUUAUUUAUUAAGCUUCUUUCUCCUUUAAUCCAGCUGUAAUUAGUAGAAAGAAUUAUUGAUAUUCCUGUUCCUUUUUUGUGCUUUGGAUACAACAAGUAAGCCAUGAGGUCACAUCAAAUUUAUAAAUUUAGUUGGUAAGGCCCAUUUUGGUUGGAAUUAAAUGUUUAUGCAAUUGGGUCAAGAAUUAAGUGCAAAACUUGAAGAAACAACUAAGCAGCUAGUGAAAUGUGUUUUCUGAUAAAGCACUUUCAAUCUAACCAGUGACCCUACCUCAUCCUUUACAUGCUACAUAUGAACCAAUAUGCUUAUAGCAACUUCACUUUCUUACAUACUUCUUCAUAACCACCUCAAGUCUAAACUUUAGUUAACUACAGCUUUCAAAGAAUUGUUGUUUCUUUUAACAGUAUGAGAACAAAUAUUUACCAAUUCCAAAUUAAGUUCCUCUUUCACAUAUCAGAUUUACUUACAGAUUAUGUUUCUACCUCCAUCAACCUUGUGAUCUCCAUCUUUUGCCUUCAAACAGUGAAAAAAAUGUCUUGUGAUAUUGAUUUUGCUUAACGAUUUGGUCACGAAAGGUGAGUUUUUAUGUUCUCUACUUUUCUUCUUUAUCACCUUCAGUCUUUUUUAAUGAUCUAUAGCCGCUUUUCCCCUGGCUACAACUUCAACCCAUGUUGACAUGGUUUGAUAUCCUCAAAUGCUGAUACGAUUAGCAGCAAAGUAAUGGCUGGCCACUAAGUUGGUGUCUUUCCUCGCAAACUGCUUGAGAAGUUUGGUCAUUAUAGUUUCUAGGGCCACUAUAAUAUAUUUGAACAUAAAUACAUAAUGCUACACUUGUUCCUAUGCAUCAGCCAUGCGUAUGCGAAUUUGAUUUGUUUUGCAGAUGAGCAAGUCUGCAGGGAGGCAUGGUUGCUUGACAGAUUAAUGGCACUUGUCUGUGUGCAUACUUGUGAUAGAGUUCUUCUUUCUUUUUUUUCUUUUUUUUUUUUUCUUUUUUUUUUUUUCAAUCCAAUAAUACCUUCAACACAAUGACACGCCAUGUGACUAAUGAUUUACCCUUCUAGAUGUGCAGAUGCUUUGCAUUCUAACUUGUUAUAAUUCAUGCUUUACGCCGUAGCAGUGCAUGUCCUGUGUUACUUGUGCUUUUAAUCACUUUCAAAUCGUGUGCACAAAAAAAAAAAUGUGAUGACUAUAUAGAGGGAAUCUUCAAAGGGUGUGCAAAGAAUUUUGAGGCACCUUUUACAAUAAUUCUAUAUACACAAAAAAUAAAUAAAUAAAACACAAAAUAUUUUACAACUAUUGAGAUGACAAAUUGUUAAUAGUAGGUAAGGAGAAUUUGAAGUAACAGUUCCCACAACUGAGUUCAAAGAAGUAGCAGAAUCUUCAGGAACACUGGUUCCAGUUCACAAAGUUGCAUGUUGAAAACAGAGAAUAAUUUGCAAAUUGAAGUUCAUGGGAUUGGGAAGUUGGUGGUCCAAUAUAAUAAAUGACAGCAAAUGGCACCAAUUUUAUGGAGCUACCAGAGAAUGCAUAAAUAAAAUUAAGAUGAUUUACAUUAUGUUAAGAUUUAAAUUGUCAAAUACCAUGACAAUGUAAUCUUAAAUGGGUCUGCAUUCCUUGAUCAUUCUGUUAAACAAAAACCCUAGGAAUUUUGAAACUGAAAAUUCUCGCUCGAGCCAUAACAUGCCUGCUCAAGCUAGCUAAGGUUUUGGGUCUCUUUAAGUGUUUUUUGAGAAGCUAGGAGUGGCUUUUCUGGUUAGCCCUCUAGCCAUUCUUUGAGAGCUAAGCAGAUUGGGACUUUAUUUCUUUGGCUUCUUAAGCACUCAAGCAAAAUGGCAAUUGUGUGGGAGAUGCUCAUGUAUUGAGCAUAAGUUAAGAGUAGAGAGAGUUUGUGGAUUUGAGCUCCUACGCAAAACAACAAAGCAGAUUGAGGUUGGCUUUUGCUUUUCAAGCUAUCAAGUAUCAAGCCAAAAGCAAUCACUAGAGAGAGUGUUCGUAGCCAUUCCAAUGAGGUUUACUACAGUCAAACCUUUAGGGAGUUGUCUUGGAGUGCUAAAGGUUCUGGCUUUUUGCAAGCAAGGAGUUGGUGGAAAAUAUCACUAUUGAAGAAUUCUAGAGAUUUUGGAACUAUUGCGGUAGGAAGCCAAGCAGGACAUUUGCAAAGGCUGCAAAGAGUCUAGGCUAACAAAGGUUUGGUAAGUCACUGACUAUUGAAACUAUUCCUUACAUAAUUGAUUUUAUAUGGGACUGUUUGUGCCCUUUAGUAGUUCUC
Long non-coding RNA from Quercus lobata, 2604 nucleotides. RefSeq lists it as uncharacterized. NCBI's taxonomy places the organism in Eukaryota, Viridiplantae, Streptophyta, Magnoliopsida, Fagales, Fagaceae. The transcript is spliced from 3 exons. The record is from RefSeq and is a predicted model, not a curated record.